AGCAGCCGCGGUAAUUCCAGCUCCAAUAGCAUAUAUUAAAAUUGUUGCAGUUAAAAAGCUCGUAGUUGAAUUUCAGGCCUGGCCGGAUGGUCCGUUUUCAUGCGAGUACUGUCUUGUUGUCAGGCCUUCUUUUCUGGUGAACCAGUAUCCUCUUCAUUGGGUGUGUUGGGGAACCAUAAUCAUUACCUUGAAAAAAUUAGAGUGCCCAACGCAGGCGAUUGCUUGAAUAGAUUAGCAUGGAAUAAUAAAAUAGGACGUGUGGUCCUAUUUUGUUGGUUUUAGGACCACCGUAAUGAUUAAUAGGGAUAGGCGGGGGCAUUAGUAUUCAAUUGUCAGAGGUGAAAUUCUUGGAUUUAUUGAAGACUAACUAUUGCGAAAGCAUUUGCCAAGGAUGUUUUCAUUAAUCAAGAACGAAAGUUAGGGGAUCGAAGACGAUUAGAUACCGUCGUAGUCUUAACCCGACUAGGAAUCGGGCGAAGUUAUUUGACGACUCACUCGGCGCCUUACGG
Molecule: ribosomal RNA, 509 nt
Filed under: uncultured Archaeosporaceae
Lineage: Eukaryota; Fungi; Glomeromycota; Glomeromycetes; Archaeosporales; Archaeosporaceae
Description: SSU rRNA
Rfam family: Eukaryotic small subunit ribosomal RNA
Source: RNAcentral